Molecule: long non-coding RNA, 2082 nt
Organism: Micropterus dolomieu (smallmouth bass)
Lineage: Eukaryota; Metazoa; Chordata; Actinopteri; Centrarchiformes; Centrarchidae
Exons: 3
Source: RefSeq, a predicted model, not a curated record
GUUUGAAAGAAUAUAAGCCCAAGAGGUCGUCAGCCUGACUCUGUGAGAUUUCUUUGAUGUCUCUCUCGUUUAUUAAUGAGAGUGAUUGAGUAUUCUGGAACUGAACACAGAUAAUGUUAAUCGGUUUGUUUUCAUAAAAACCCCUGAACUGAGCGCCACAUCCCCGAUCUCUACUUUAGACUAUAGCUCCAAAUAACGUCACCAGCACAAAGUGGCAGCGCCCGUUUCUUCAUUGUUGGCUUCAUUUUGUACAGUGGGAGGAAGUGGCGUCCAUCUUGAUAUCCAGUCUGUGCCUGUCUGUCUGCGGCGACUGAAGAGCUGCGUUCAAGAGCUGGAAAAUCCAGCGUUUGGUGGUAUAACAAAACCAAACAUGAAAAUAUGACGCAUGUCUCAGGCUUUCAUCGUCAGCAGUGGUGAUUCCUGCUUGGUCACCUUCAGCUCCACCCGACUCCCGACCUUUUUGUCCAAACUUCAAACCAAAUGUGGAAACAAUGGGACACAGCUGAGGCGAGUUGGCUGCAGACAUGCCACAGAGCUGUGUGCCCAUCGGCUUCGUGGUGAGACGCCGGCGUUUCAGACAUCUGGCUCUGGAAACACCAGUUACUAAGCAACGGCCGGGCUGGCAGGACGACGGAGAGUCGCUGGAAACCAGCUUGUCUCGUCUCUGCAGUCAGAGCGAUUCAGCACAGCCUCCAUCACUCCUUUGUGUUCCUGCAUUCAACUCUCCUGGGCCGCCGCCUCCUCCUCCUCCUCGCCGCUCAAAAAUAACACCACACUGUUCACCUGUUUCCUCUGUGAGCUUCACUGAGAAUCACAAGUUCUCUGAAUAAGUUCUUAAAGUCUGUUAAUAAAAGUUAACUUGUCCAUUUUGUCAAUAGGGAACAAAAAGUUAAAAAGGAGAAAAAAAAAAGUUCUUCUCCCGUGAGAGACAGCAACCCUAACAUGAAGCCUGGCAGGCAGUUUGAUGGACUUAGAAAUCCCCCUUCAGCUUUAACAACAUUACAUUUGUUUCAUGUUCUUGCUGCAUUGCUGUUGAAUCCUGCAGUGCUGCAGUCAGAGCUGCAGAGGAAGGAUUUCUACAACCGUCACCGGUUUAAGAUCUGGGCAGAAAUCCCAGCUACAGGCAGGGAGUUAACCUCCAGUGCUCAGACAAGUUGAUUUUCCAAAGAACUGAGUGUGUUUAAAUUGUCUCAGAUUUUUGCGUACUGCAGUUUCUCAUGAUUUCGGUAUGACAGUUUCACCAGACCAACAGUACGAGUUAAUUUUUGACUCGUUUUACUCAUCGAAACAAACUUCAUACCUCCGCAAGAAACUCAGGAGCUCGUGAUGUUGAAACAUUACGCCAUCGUUUGUGAUAUGCGUUUAAACAGUGCUCAAACGUUCCUUUUAUGAAACUAAACUGAAGUACGACUUUGAUUAUUUGCUUGACACUGUUUAUACCCGGUGUGUUUUCUGCCCAGAUGUUGUUCCUGCCAGGCAGACUGAGGCGAAAAUCAGACAGGAAGCAGAGAAAACACCAGCGCACUUUUCCCCUUACGUCCGUCCAGGUGGAGGACGGCAUGCUCCGGUAUGGGUCCAGGAGGAUCCGGAAACAGCGGACGAUUAGCAGGCCCAGGAAGAUGAAGAGGAUGAGCACGAAGACGAAGGCCGCCCUCUGCUCGAGCGUGAGGAAGGAGGCUGUCGCUGAGGAGGAAGAGGAGGAGGAAGAGGAGGAGGAAAAGUCAGAUUCAGAAGCAGAGAAGGUGCUGCUGUAGAGGUCGUCUGCCAUGUUGGGAUGGAGAAUGACUGGUUGGCUUAGAAGAUCAUCAUCUUCUGUCCAAUGAGAGACUGUCCACAGGAAAACAUUGUGAUGGCGAGGAGAGGCCUGCAGAGUAAACAAGUACUUUAGAAAAUCUUUAGCCAAGUACUUUCCCUUAAAGGCCGAAAUGUUCAUUAGACCUAAAGUAGAACUAAAUCAGCUACAAGCAACACAACACUGCAUGGUUAAGCAUCUGAUUUGUAAAUAAACACUGCUGGAAAUGCUAACGAGUUAUCCAAGAUGCUGUUCUGGACUGAUGUUACAAAGUCAUCCUAAACACUUGA